This is a long non-coding RNA of Magallana angulata, 1215 nucleotides long. RefSeq lists it as uncharacterized. Lineage: Eukaryota; Metazoa; Mollusca; Bivalvia; Ostreida; Ostreidae. The record is from RefSeq and is a predicted model, not a curated record. The transcript has 3 exons.
AACAUGAAAGAAAAUUAAUAAUGGAUUUCUAAUAUCAAAUCUUGAAAAAAAAUUUAUUUCCAUUGCAGCUGUGGUAUUUUGUAGACUUGGAGUAAUGACCGUUAACAAUUUCCUUGCUGCUUUGAAUAUUCCCACUGUAACUUCUGUAACUUUUAAGAGACGAGAGAGGGAGGUUGGCAAUAUUUUUGAAGCUGUUGCAAAUGAGACUUGUAAUGAAGCCCUUGCCGAGGAGAAAAAAAGAUUCAGUAGAAAUGUUUUUUACUGAUGUAUUUCAACAUAUAAUAUUUUUUCAGUGACUUGAUAGGUUAAAGAUUAUUUAUAAAUUGAUACAAAUUUCAUCAUAGAUCACAAAAUGCCGAAAAAUUUUCCGUGUCCUUUGAUGCUGGAUGGCAGACCAGAGGUAGCGGUCGAAACUAUGCAAGUUUGUCAGGGCAUGCGAGUAUGAUUGGAGAGAAGACAGGAAAAAUUCUUUCAUAUGCUGUUCGGUGCAAGAAAUGCAGAUUCUGUGAUAAAGCACCAGUAUCAGCAGAACUGAAUAAACAUGAUAGUAGAAGAAAUUGGGAAAAAUCCUCAAAGGCAAUGGAACCAGAUAUGGCUUUAGAAAUGUUGCAUGACUUAAAAGCGCGUGACUUCCAUUUAAAACAUCUUAUAAUGGAUAAUGACUCAACAACCUUAGCCAAGGCAAAAAUGUCAUUUGAUCCAAAUGUUCAAAAAAUUUCGGAUUUUAAUCAUACAAAAAAAAUCUGGCAAGUAAACUAUAUGACAUCAAGAAGGAGAAAAAGUAUCCUCUUCUAGGUCCAAAACCCAUUCAACAUUUUCUAAAAUGUUUUUCGUAUGCUGUGAAAUCCAACGAAGACACAGACACUUUAAAGAGAAAUUUAGAGUUAUUCCUCUCCAUGUAUUUGAAAACCACAAGAAAUGUGAAAAAAGUGGUGUAAAUAUCUACAGGACCCAGACAAUUAUAAACCCAUAAAUUUUCCAUAUGGAAAAUAUCUUUCUGGGGUGGAUUUACUCAAAGAUUUACAGCAUCUGUUCAGUGAUUUAGCUAAAAAUGCAAGUAAACUUUCCAAUAUUGGAAGCACUCAGGCAAAUGAAAACUUCAACAAAAUAGUGGCCUGCAAAAAUCCGAAAGCAUUAUAUUACAGUGGAUCUGAGAGCACAUCCUUUAGAGUAGCAGCUGCUGUUGCACAUCAGAAUAUUGGACAUCUGACAAUU